GUCCUCUUCUGUUGAUUAUAACAUGCAGCGGAUGCCUUGGCUUUUAGCUGAAGUCAGCAGCAACUUCAAGAAUUUGAGAUAGAAGGGCUGCAGUUGUUAAACAGGCAGCAAGAAAAACAGGCCCAAAGUCAGACAAAAAGCAGCUAAAUAGCCACAUAGCAUCUGGCUUCUGCAGACGUUGAACGAGACUAUGAUGUCGCCUGCCUGGUGUUAAUGAAGGAAGACCUCACCACUCAGCUCAAGCUGGUUCAGGCGCAGAAUGUGUAAAACAAGAUGGUUGCCUUUUUAAUUUUUUUUUCCUACCCAGCUGACUGACUUCUGGGCCAUUCCAUAAUAAGUUGCCUUUAUCUUUG
This is a long non-coding RNA of Panthera uncia (snow leopard), 353 nucleotides long. RefSeq lists it as uncharacterized. The transcript is spliced from 2 exons. The record is from RefSeq and is a predicted model, not a curated record. Lineage: Eukaryota; Metazoa; Chordata; Mammalia; Carnivora; Felidae.